AGCUCCAUAGUUGAUAGACAACAUUAAAUUGCAAAUUUAAAAGUGUAGAAAUCCUACUGGAGCUU
Molecule: transfer RNA, 65 nt
Filed under: Asychis amphiglyptus
Lineage: Eukaryota; Metazoa; Annelida; Polychaeta; Maldanidae
Description: tRNA-Cys
Source: RNAcentral